Molecule: unclassified non-coding RNA, 161 nt
Filed under: uncultured Chaunopycnis
Lineage: Eukaryota; Fungi; Ascomycota; Sordariomycetes; Hypocreales; Clavicipitaceae
Description: sequence contains ITS2
Source: RNAcentral
CAACCCUCAGGGCCCCUAGGGGACCUGGUGUUGGGGCCGGCCGCCCGCGCCGCCCCCGAAAUGCAGUGGCGACCCCGCCGCAGCCUCCCCUGCGUAGUAGCACAACCUCGCACCGGAGCGCGGAGGCGGUCACGCCGUAAAACGCCCAACCUUCUCAAGAG